AUUGAACGCUGGCGGAAUGCUUUACACAUGCAAGUCGAACGGCAGCACGGGGCAACCUGGUGGCGAGUGGCGAACGGGUGAGUAAUAUAUCGGAACGUGCCCAAUCGUGGGGGAUAACGUAGCGAAAGUUACGCUAAUACCGCAUACGAUCUACGGAUGAAAGCGGGGGAUCGCAAGACCUCGCGCGAAUGGAGCGGCCGAUAUCAGAUUAGGUAGUUGGUGGGGUAAAGGCUCACCAAGCCAACGAUCUGUAGCUGGUCUGAGAGGACGACCAGCCACACUGGAACUGAGACACGGUCCAGACUCCUACGGGAGGCAGCAGUGGGGAAUUUUGGACAAUGGGCGCAAGCCUGAUCCAGCCAUUCCGCGUGCAGGAUGAAGGCCUCGGUGUAACUGCUUUGUACGGUACG
Molecule: ribosomal RNA, 410 nt
Filed under: uncultured bacterium
Lineage: Bacteria
Description: bacterial SSU rRNA
Rfam family: Bacterial small subunit ribosomal RNA
Source: RNAcentral